This 1786-nucleotide ribosomal RNA is filed under the name Pseudotrachelocerca trepida. Its description in RNAcentral is "LSU rRNA". It matches the Rfam family "Eukaryotic large subunit ribosomal RNA", at positions 58 to 1832 of the family's 3401-position model. Lineage: Eukaryota; Ciliophora; Litostomatea; Haptorida; Pseudotrachelocercidae. The record is from RNAcentral.
AAAGAAACUAACAAGGAUUGCCUCAGUAGCGGCGAGCGAAGCGGCAACAGCCCACAGUGAAAAUCUCUUGUCUCCGGCAAGAGAGUUGUAAACUGUAGAGCUUCGCAGAAGGAACGUGCUCGGCAGAACCGCCUGGAACGGCGGAGCAGAGAGGGUGACACUCCCGUACCUGGCCAGAGCGCGUCCGUAUGCGAGGUUUCAAAGAGUCGGGUUCUUUGGGAAUGGAGCCCAAAUUGGGAGAUAAACUUCUUCUAAGGCUAAAUAUCCAUGGGAGACCGAUAGCGAACAAGUACUGUGAAGGAAAGAUGAAAAGAACUUUGAAAAGAGGGUGAAAAGACUUGAAUUCGCUGGGAAGGAAGUGGUGGAAAAAAUCGCUCGGGCGCGACGUUCGCUCCGAGGCCACCGGCCACGCUUUCGUAAGGUACUUAAUCGGCCUGCGGGGGCGCGCGUAACGGGGGCCGGGAGCCUUUUCGCGUUUGGGGACCAGAGUGAGGCGACACUGCGUGAGACGCUUAACGGGACGCCCCUGCUUGCAGGAGCCCGGGAAGACUGGCGCAGAGGAGCCUGAGGGGACUUCGGUCGACUCUGGUGAGAUGGUUUCCACCGGCCCGUCUUGAAACACGGACCAAGGAGUCUAGCUGUCGUGCGAGUCUGCGGGUGUAAAAACCCAUAGGCGAAAUGAAAGUGAGUGCAAGGAGCGCACCGCAAGGAGCAGCUCCGGCCGACCUUGAACUUCUGUGAAGGGUUUGCGCACGAGCAGGGCGGCUAGGACCCGAAAGAUGGUGAACUAUACUUGAGUAGGGUGAAGCCAGGGGAAACUCUGGUGGAAGCUCGAAGCGGUACUGACGUGCAAAUCGUUCGUCAAACUUGAGUAUAGGGGCGAUAGACUAAUCGAACCAUCUAGUAGCUGGUUCCCUCUGAAGUUUCUCUCAGGAUAGCUGGGACACAACGCAGUUUUAUCAGGUAAAGCGAAUGAUUAAAGGAAUUGGGACUCCAAGAGUCUUGACCUAUUCUCAAACUUUGAAUUGGUAAGCACCUUCAGUUUUCUUAAUUGAACUGAGGGGUUUAAUGCGUGUCCCAUGUGGGCCAUUUUUGGUAAGCAGAACUGGCGAUGAGGGAUGAACCUAACGUCGAGUUAAGGCGCCCAAUUCCUCGCUCAUCAGAAACCACAAAAGGUGUUGAUUCAUUUAGACAGCAGGACGGUGGCCCUGGAAGUCGGAACCCGCUAAGGAGUGUGUAACAACUCACCUGCCGAAUGGAUUAGCCCUGAAAAUGGAUGGCGCUGAAGCGAGGAGCCCAUACUCGACCAUUGGGGCAAACGUGCCGCCCCAAUGAGUAAGAGGGCGUGGACGUCGUGCCGAAGCUGGUGGCGUGAGCCUCAGUGGAACGGCGUCCAGUGCAGAUCUUGGUGGUAGUAGCAAAUAUUCAAAUGAGAACUUUGAAGGCCGAAGUGGGGGAGGGUUCCGUGAGAACAGCAUUUGGUCACGGGUUACUCGGUCCUAAGGCAUAGGGAAGCUCCUUGCAAUACAAGAGCGCUUUGCUCGUUGCCGAAAGGGAGUGCAGUUAACAUUCUGCAAGCUGGCCGUGGAUAUAGUGUGGUAACACAAGCGAGCUCGGAGACGUGGGUCCGGCCCCCUGGAAGAGUUAUCUUUUCUUUUUAACUAGCCGCCGCCCUGGAAGUGGAUUAUCCAGAGCUAGGGCUCCGCGCUAGGCAGAGUGGCGCACUAUAAGCGCCAUCAGGUGCGUUCGGGACCACCCUUGAAAAUCUGAGCAAGAGAUCUAUUGC